Molecule: ribosomal RNA, 429 nt
Filed under: uncultured bacterium
Lineage: Bacteria
Description: bacterial SSU rRNA
Rfam family: Bacterial small subunit ribosomal RNA
Source: RNAcentral
UGGGGAAUAUUGGGCAAUGGGCGAAAGCCUGACCCAGCGACGCCGCGUGGGUGAUGAAGGCCUUCGGGUUGUAAAGCCCUUUCGUGCGGAACGAACAGUCUCGCGACUAAUACUCGCGGGAUUUGACGGUACCGCAGGAAGAAGCACCGGCUAACUCCGUGCCAGCAGCCGCGGUAAUACGGAGGGUGCAAGCGUUGUUCGGAAUUACUGGGCGUAAAGGGCGCGCAGGCGGUUGUGCAAGUCAGUUGUGAAAUCCCCCGGCUUAACCGGGGAACUGCAUCUGAAACUGCAUGACUCGAGUACAGAAGAGGGAAACGGAAUUCCCGGUGUAGAGGUGAAAUUCGUAGAUAUCGGGAGGAACACCAGUGGCGAAGGCGGUUUCCUGGUCUGAUACUGACGCUGAGGCGCGAAAGCGUGGGGAGCAAACAG